CCCAGCAGUCAAGAAUAUUAGUCAAUGCUCGCAAGAGUGAACUAGCUAACUGAAAUCACUUGUACUUUUAAUAAUUUACAAGAGAUGUCGUAAGGGAAAAUAAUGAUAUUACCUUACUAAUAGUGUCGUCCAAAACUGGUGCCAGAAGACUCGGUAAGGCCAGAGACGCAAACGUUAAUCAUCUUAAUCAGGCGUAAAGGGUUAGUAGGCUGCUUUGAAAGUCUUAAUUUUGUUAUAGCUAUUAUAAAAUUAGGAUGAAUUAAAGCUUGAAUCAAAUAGAGGUUAUAUUAAAUAAUACUUAGAGGAGGGAUUAAAUCCUAAGAUACUAAGGGGAAUACUAAAGGCGAAGGCAUUUUACCACUAAUGAUUGACGCUGAGAAACGAAGGUGAGGAUAGGAAAUAGGAUUAGAUACCCCGGUACCCCUCUCUGUCAACGAUGAAUGGUAGUUUCUAGCUCUAAGAGUUAGAGGCGAUGUUAACACGUUAACCAUUCCGCCUUGUGAGUACGAUUGCAAAAUUGAAAACAAAAAAAUUAGUCGGUCUCGGAGCAAACGAAGUGAAGCAUGUUAUUUAAUUCGAAAUC
This 583-nucleotide ribosomal RNA is filed under the name Cyanosporus caesius. Its description in RNAcentral is "SSU rRNA". It matches the Rfam family "Bacterial small subunit ribosomal RNA", at positions 347 to 958 of the family's 1533-position model. The record is from RNAcentral. Lineage: Eukaryota; Fungi; Basidiomycota; Agaricomycetes; Polyporales; Postiaceae.